Molecule: transfer RNA, 74 nt
Filed under: bacterium
Lineage: Bacteria
Description: tRNA-Gln
Rfam family: tRNA
About the family: Transfer RNA (tRNA) molecules are approximately 80 nucleotides in length. Their secondary structure includes four short double-helical elements and three loops (D, anti-codon, and T loops).
Source: RNAcentral
UCCCGGUUCGUCUAAUGGUAGGACAGCAGCCUCUGAAGUUGCUUAUCGUGGUUCGAGUCCAUGACCGGGAGCCA